RNAcentral lists this small RNA (125 nucleotides) under Marmota monax (woodchuck). The record is from RNAcentral. Lineage: Eukaryota; Metazoa; Chordata; Mammalia; Rodentia; Sciuridae.
GCUGGGUAUGGUGGUGCACACCUGUAAUCCCAGCAACUCAGGAGGCUGAGACAGGAGGACCACCAGUUCAAAGACAGACUCAGCAAUGGUGAGGCGCUAAGCAACUCAGUGAGAACCUGUUUCUA